RNAcentral lists this long non-coding RNA (234 nucleotides) under Prunus persica (peach). RNAcentral describes it as "long non-coding RNA (PPER_LNC000958)". Lineage: Eukaryota; Viridiplantae; Streptophyta; Magnoliopsida; Rosales; Rosaceae. The record is from RNAcentral.
UUUCAUCCACUAUUAUCAAACAAGUAACAUAUGUAAUGCAUGCCAAGUGUUUGUGAAAAUGUCUCACAGUAGCUUGUGGGCUGUUCUUUGAACUUUUGAAAUGUUUCUCUUGGAAUCUAAGUUGGAGGUUUUGAUACAUGAAAACAGACUUCUCCAUGGUUGUGUUAGAAUUGGUCUUGUGCCAUUUGAAGGAAAAAUGAAAGUUUGGUGCAAUUUCAAAGGGCUAAGUUGCUG